Molecule: long non-coding RNA, 1876 nt
Filed under: Brassica rapa (field mustard)
Lineage: Eukaryota; Viridiplantae; Streptophyta; Magnoliopsida; Brassicales; Brassicaceae
Source: RNAcentral
UUAAUGCAUCCUAAGACGAGUCUAAACUUGGAAACCUCAUAACUUUUGAACCGUGAGGAACUACGUCGCCCAUAGCACCAUUUCGGAAAGCCCCAGAAACCAUAAUGGGCGGUGAAUAGGCGGCGCCAAUUUUUCGGGCUCAAAUUCACCCGUUUUGACCCUCAAACGGGCUGCGGAAAGUUUUGGCACGCAAAAAAGAUCGAAAGCGGAUUCUCAGGGUGUUUUUGAUGCUUUCUGAACGCCAUUAACCUCGACGCACUUUUUCGCUCGAAACAAAUUGGCAAGAAAAUCAUGUGGGUCCCACGGCCUCACAGGCUGCGAAAAGGAUAUGUAGAAACGAGAGUGAUGUACUGACGGGUGCGAUCAUACCAGCACUAAUGCACCGGAUCCCAUCAGAACUCCGCAGUUAAGCGUGCUUGGGCGAGAGUAGUACUAGGAUGGGUGACCUCCCGGGAAGUCCUCGUGUUGCACCCCUUUUUAUUUUUUAAUUUUUUUUAAUGCAUCCUAAGACGAGUCUAAACUUGGAAACCUCAUAACUUUUGAACCGUGAGGAACUACGUCGCCCAUAGCACCAUUUCGGAAAGCCCCAGAAACCAUAAUGGGCGGUGAAUAGGCGGCGCCAAUUUUUCGGGCUCAAAUUCAGCCGUUUUGACCCUCAAACGGGCUGCGGAAAGUUUUGGCACGCAAAAAAGAUCGAAAGCGGAUUCUCAGGGUGUUUUUGAUGCUUUCUGAACGCCAUUAACCUCGACGCACUUUUUCGCUCGAAACAAAUUGGCAAGAAAAUCAUGUGGGUCCCACGGCCUCACAGGCUGCGAAAAGGAUAUGUAGAAACGAGAGUGAUGUACUGACGGGUGCGAUCAUACCAGCACUAAUGCACCGGAUCCCAUCAGAACUCCGCAGUUAAGCGUGCUUGGGCGAGAGUAGUACUAGGAUGGGUGACCUCCCGGGAAGUCCUCGUGUUGCACCCCUUUUUAUUUUUUAAUUUUUUUUAAUGCAUCCUAAGACGAGUCUAAACUUGGAAACCUCAUAACUUUUGAACCGUGAGGAACUACGUCGCCCAUAGCACCAUUUCGGAAAGCCCCAGAAACCAUAAUGGGCGGUGAAUAGGCGGCGCCAAUUUUUCGGGCUCAAAUUCAGCCGUUUUGACCCUCAAACGGGCUGCGGAAAGUUUUGGCACGCAAAAAAGAUCGAAAGCGGAUUCUCAGGGUGUUUUUGAUGCUUUCUGAACGCCAUUAACCUCGACGCACUUUUUCGCUCGAAACAAAUUGGCAAGAAAAUCAUGUGGGUCCCACGGCCUCACAGGCUGCGAAAAGGAUAUGUAGAAACGAGAGUGAUGUACUGACGGGUGCGAUCAUACCAGCACUAAUGCACCGGAUCCCAUCAGAACUCCGCAGUUAAGCGUGCUUGGGCGAGAGUAGUACUAGGAUGGGUGACCUCCCGGGAGUCCUCGUGUUGCACCCCUUUUUAUUUUUAAAUUUUUUUUAAUGCAUCCUAAGACGAGUCUAAACUUGGAAACCUCAUAACUUUUGAACCGUGAGAACUACGUCUAAGACGAGUCUAAACUUGGAAACCUCAUAACUUUUGAACCGUGAGGAACUACGUCGCCCAUAGCACCAUUUCGGAAAGCCCCAGAAACCAUAAUGGGCGGUGAAUAGGCGGCGCCAAUUUUUCGGGCUCAAAUUCAGCCGUUUUGACCCUCAAACGGGCUGCGGAAAGUUUUGGCACGCAAAAAAAGAUCGAAAGCGGAUUCUCAGGGUGUUUUUGAUGCUUUCUGAACGCCAUUAACCUCGACGCACUUUUUCGCUCGAAACAAAUUGGCAAGAAAAUCAUGUGGGUCCCACGGCCUCACAGGCUGCGAAAAGGAUAUGUAGAAACG